Molecule: non-coding RNA, 28 nt
Filed under: Rattus norvegicus (Norway rat)
Lineage: Eukaryota; Metazoa; Chordata; Mammalia; Rodentia; Muridae
Source: RNAcentral
UAUUAUAAUGUUGAUGGAUUUGUCCCCU